CACGUAGGCGGAUUGAUCAGUUGGGGGUGAAGUCCCAGGGCUCAACCCUGGAACUGCCUUCAAUACUGUCUGUCUAGAGGUCGAGAGAGGUGAGUGGAAUUCCGAGUGUAGAGGUGAAAUUCGUAGAUAUUCGGAGGAACACCAGUGGCGAAGGCGGCUCACUGGCUCGAUACUGACGCUGAGGUGCGAAAGCGUGGGGAGCAAACA
This 207-nucleotide ribosomal RNA is filed under the name uncultured bacterium. Its description in RNAcentral is "partial 16S ribosomal RNA". It matches the Rfam family "Bacterial small subunit ribosomal RNA", at positions 568 to 774 of the family's 1533-position model. The record is from RNAcentral.